AAACUUUAUGCCUGAUUUUAAAAUUUGCACGUGAAAUUUUUUGCGUCUAAUUGCACGUGAAAUUUUGUGCAUGACUCUAAAAAUUGCACGUGAAAUUUUGUGCGCGAUUCUAAAAAUUGAACGUGAAAUUUUGUGCGCGAUUCUAAAAAUUUGCACGUGAAAUUUUAUUCGUGAUUCUAAUUGCACGUCAAAAUUUGUGCGUGAUUAGAAAAAUGGCACGCGAAUUUUUGUGCAUGUCUAAAAGUUGCACGUGAAAUUUUAUCCCCGAUUGUAAUUGCACGUGAAAUUUGUGCAUGAUUCAAAAUUUUGUGCAGAUUCUAAAAAUUUGCACUGCAAUUUAUGCGCGAUUCUAAAAAAUCGACAUGAAAUUUUAUGCACGAUUCUAAAGGGAUAAUGAAAACAAGAAAAAUCAAGAGACUAAACAAAAAAAAAUAUAAAUAAGAAAAGGAAAUAAUAAAGAAGAUAUAAAACAAAUGGAAGAAAAAAGAAAUGAAAGAAAAAACAAUGGUGAACAUGGGACUUGAACUUACAAUUUCAUGAAUCCAACACAAGACACCGCUGCUAGCCACAAAACCAAUUGGUUGGUACUGUUCUACUUGAGUUAUUAUAUUUUAUAUAUAGCGAGGUAUCUCAGAUCGAAUGAGAAAUAUCAAUUCUCAGGCUGAGGACUAGCAAUUCCUAAACAAAAACGACGUGUCUCUAUGUCCGAAUCGGCCGUCUCUACGCCACGAAUCAGCAUAGGUCCCCUUUUUGUUGGCGAACAAUGUCGUACCCGGUGGUUAUUGCGAAAUGAAGUGCUCCAAUUAUCCUACGGUGCACCCCCCCUACUAAUUAACUAUCGCAAGGCCAGAAGAGUGUGUCUGAAGCAAUGCGAUUUGAUCAUUCAUUAGCCACACGGCCUGCUGAUUCGGAUGUGGACGGGCACGCUAUCGUCGUUGGGUAACGUGGGCUUAAUUCGCUAAUCAUGCUCAGCUGCCUCAACUUGUUAUCGCGUCAUCGCACAAUAAUAAUCCCCCUUGCUUCGGUCGUAAACACGGGUGACCCACGGCAGGCUCCUCUUCUUGUCUGGCC
Molecule: long non-coding RNA, 1071 nt
Filed under: Brachypodium distachyon (stiff brome)
Lineage: Eukaryota; Viridiplantae; Streptophyta; Magnoliopsida; Poales; Poaceae
Description: long non-coding RNA (BDIS_LNC000590)
Source: RNAcentral